UUAAGCGACUAAGCGUACACGGUGGAUGCCCUGGCAGUCAGAGGCGAUGAAGGACGUGCUAAUCUGCGAUAAGCGUCGGUAAGGUGAUAUGAACCGUUAUAACCGGCGAUUUCCGAAUGGGGAAACCCAGUGUGUUUCGACACACUAUCAUUAACUGAAUCCAUAGGUUAAUGAGGCGAACCGGGGGAACUGAAACAUCUAAGUACCCCGAGGAAAAGAAAUCAACCGAGAUUCCCCCAGUAGCGGCGAGCGAACGGGGAGCAGCCCAGAGCCUGAAUCAGUGUGUGUGUUAGUGGAAGCGUCUGGAAAGGCGCGCGAUACAGGGUGACAGCCCCGUACACAAAAAUGCACAUGCUGUGAGCUCGAUGAGUAGGGCGGGACACGUGGUAUCCUGUCUGAAUAUGGGGGGACCAUCCUCCAAGGCUAAAUACUCCUGACUGACCGAUAGUGAACCAGUACCGUGAGGGAAAGGCGAAAAGAACCCCGGCGAGGGGAGUGAAAAAGAACCUGAAACCGUGUACGUACAAGCAGUGGGAGCACGCUUAGGCGUGUGACUGCGUACCUUUUGUAUAAUGGGUCAGCGACUUAUAUUCUGUAGCAAGGUUAACCGAAUAGGGGAGCCGAAGGGAAACCGAGUCUUAACUGGGCGUUAAGUUGCAGGGUAUAGACCCGAAACCCGGUGAUCUAGCCAUGGGCAGGUUGAAGGUUGGGUAACACUAACUGGAGGACCGAACCGACUAAUGUUGAAAAAUUAGCGGAUGACUUGUGGCUGGGGGUGAAAGGCCAAUCAAACCGGGAGAUAGCUGGUUCUCCCCGAAAGCUAUUUAGGUAGCGCCUCGUGAAUUCAUCUCCGGGGGUAGAGCACUGUUUCGGCAAGGGGGUCAUCCCGACUUACCAACCCGAUGCAAACUGCGAAUACCGGAGAAUGUUAUCACGGGAGACACACGGCGGGUGCUAACGUCCGUCGUGAAGAGGGAAACAACCCAGACCGCCAGCUAAGGUCCCAAAGUCAUGGUUAAGUGGGAAACGAUGUGGGAAGGCCCAGACAGCCAGGAUGUUGGCUUAGAAGCAGCCAUCAUUUAAAGAAAGCGUAAUAGCUCACUGGUCGAGUCGGCCUGCGCGGAAGAUGUAACGGGGCUAAACCAUGCACCGAAGCUGCGGCAGCGACACUAUGUGUUGUUGGGUAGGGGAGCGUUCUGUAAGCCUGCGAAGGUGUACUGUGAGGUAUGCUGGAGGUAUCAGAAGUGCGAAUGCUGACAUAAGUAACGAUAAAGCGGGUGAAAAGCCCGCUCGCCGGAAGACCAAGGGUUCCUGUCCAACGUUAAUCGGGGCAGGGUGAGUCGACCCCUAAGGCGAGGCCGAAAGGCGUAGUCGAUGGGAAACAGGUUAAUAUUCCUGUACUUGGUGUUACUGCGAAGGGGGGACGGAGAAGGCUAUGUUGGCCGGGCGACGGUUGUCCCGGUUUAAGCGUGUAGGCUGGUUUUCCAGGCAAAUCCGGAAAAUCAAGGCUGAGGCGUGAUGACGAGGCACUACGGUGCUGAAGCAACAAAUGCCCUGCUUCCAGGAAAAGCCUCUAAGCAUCAGGUAACAUCAAAUCGUACCCCAAACCGACACAGGUGGUCAGGUAGAGAAUACCAAGGCGCUUGAGAGAACUCGGGUGAAGGAACUAGGCAAAAUGGUGCCGUAACUUCGGGAGAAGGCACGCUGAUAUGUAGGUGAAGCGACUUGCUCGUGGAGCUGAAAUCAGUCGAAGAUACCAGCUGGCUGCAACUGUUUAUUAAAAACACAGCACUGUGCAAACACGAAAGUGGACGUAUACGGUGUGACGCCUGCCCGGUGCCGGAAGGUUAAUUGAUGGGGUUAGCGGUAACGCGAAGCUCUUGAUCGAAGCCCCGGUAAACGGCGGCCGUAACUAUAACGGUCCUAAGGUAGCGAAAUUCCUUGUCGGGUAAGUUCCGACCUGCACGAAUGGCGUAAUGAUGGCCAGGCUGUCUCCACCCGAGACUCAGUGAAAUUGAACUCGCUGUGAAGAUGCAGUGUACCCGCGGCAAGACGGAAAGACCCCGUGAACCUUUACUAUAGCUUGACACUGAACAUUGAGCCUUGAUGUGUAGGAUAGGUGGGAGGCUUUGAAGUGUGGACGCCAGUCUGCAUGGAGCCGGCCUUGAAAUACCACCCUUUAAUGUUUGAUGUUCUAACGUUGGCCCCUGAUCGGGGUUGCGGACAGUGUCUGGUGGGUAGUUUGACUGGGGCGGUCUCCUCCUAAAGAGUAACGGAGGAGCACGAAGGUUGGCUAAUCCUGGUCGGACAUCAGGAGGUUAGUGCAAUGGCAUAAGCCAGCUUGACUGCGAGCGUGACGGCGCGAGCAGGUGCGAAAGCAGGUCAUAGUGAUCCGGUGGUUCUGAAUGGAAGGGCCAUCGCUCAACGGAUAAAAGGUACUCCGGGGAUAACAGGCUGAUACCGCCCAAGAGUUCAUAUCGACGGCGGUGUUUGGCACCUCGAUGUCGGCUCAUCACAUCCUGGGGCUGAAGUAGGUCCCAAGGGUAUGGCUGUUCGCCAUUUAAAGUGGUACGCGAGCUGGGUUUAGAACGUCGUGAGACAGUUCGGUCCCUAUCUGCCGUGGGCGCUGGAGAACUGAGGGGGGCUGCUCCUAGUACGAGAGGACCGGAGUGGACGCAUCACUGGUGUUCGGGUUGUCAUGCCAAUGGCACUGCCCGGUAGCUAAAUGCGGAAGAGAUAAGUGCUGAAAGCAUCUAAGCACGAAACUUGCCCCGAGAUGAGUUCUCCCUGAGACUUUAAGUCUCCUGAAGGAACGUUGAAGACGACGACGUUGAUAGGCCGGGUGUGUAAGCGCAGCGAUGCGUUGAGCUAACCGGUACUAAUGAACCGUGAGGCUUAACCUU
This 2903-nucleotide ribosomal RNA is filed under the name human gut metagenome. Its description in RNAcentral is "bacterial LSU rRNA". It matches the Rfam family "Bacterial large subunit ribosomal RNA". The record is from RNAcentral.